RNAcentral lists this ribosomal RNA (495 nucleotides) under uncultured bacterium. RNAcentral describes it as "partial 16S ribosomal RNA". It matches the Rfam family "Bacterial small subunit ribosomal RNA", at positions 28 to 507 of the family's 1533-position model. The record is from RNAcentral.
GACGAACGCUGGCGGCGUGCCUAAUACAUGCAAGUAGAACGCUGAAGGAGGAGCUUGCUUCUCUGGAUGAGUUGCGAACGGGUGAGUAACGCGUAGGUAACCUGCCUGGUAGCGGGGGAUAACUAUUGGAAACGAUAGCUAAUACCGCAUAAGAGUAGAUGUUGCAUGACAUUUACUUAAAAGGUGCAAUUGCAUCACUACCAGAUGGACCUGCGUUGUAUUAGCUAGUUGGUGAGGUAACGGCUCACCAAGGCAACGAUACAUAGCCGACCUGAGAGGGGGAUCGGACACACUGGGACGGAGACACGGCCCAGACUCCUACGGGAGGCAGCAGUAGGGAAUCUUCGGCAAUGGACGGAAGUCUGACCGAGCAACGCCGCGUGAGUGAAGAAGGUUUUCGGAUCGUAAAGCUCUGUUGUAAGAGAAGAACGAGUGUGAGAGUGGAAAGUUCACACUGUGACGGUAUCUUACCAGAAAGGGACGGCUAACUACGUG